This 490-nucleotide ribosomal RNA is filed under the name uncultured bacterium. Its description in RNAcentral is "bacterial SSU rRNA". It matches the Rfam family "Bacterial small subunit ribosomal RNA", at positions 30 to 518 of the family's 1533-position model. The record is from RNAcentral.
UGAACGCUGGCGGCGUGCCUAACACAUAGCAAGUCGAACGGAAACUAAGCGCUCGGAGACUUCGGUCAAUGUUGCUUGGUUUAGUGGCGGACGGGUGAGUAACGCGUGGAUAACCUGCCAUAUACAGGGGGAUAACAGUUAGAAAUGACUGCUAAUACCGCAUAAGCGCACGGGACCGCAUGAUCCUGUGUGAAAAGCUCCGACGGUAUAUGAUGGAUCCGCGUCUGAUUAGCCAGUUGGCGGGGUAACGGCCCACCAAAGCGACGAUCAGUAGCCGGCCUGAGAGGGUGAACGGCCACAUUGGGACUGAGACACGGCCCAAACUCCUACGGGAGGCAGCAGUGGGGGAUAUUGCACAAUGGGGGAAACCCUGAUGCAGCGAACCGCCGCGUGAGUGAAGAAGUAUUUCGGUAUGUAAAGCUCUAUCAGCAGGGAAGAUAAUGACGGUACCUGACUAAGAAGCACCGGCUAAAUACGUGCCAGCAGCAGC